RNAcentral lists this ribosomal RNA (469 nucleotides) under Escherichia coli. RNAcentral describes it as "bacterial SSU rRNA". It matches the Rfam family "Bacterial small subunit ribosomal RNA", at positions 30 to 487 of the family's 1533-position model. The record is from RNAcentral. Lineage: Bacteria; Pseudomonadati; Pseudomonadota; Gammaproteobacteria; Enterobacterales; Enterobacteriaceae.
AUUGAACGCAGGCGGCAGGCCUAACACAUGCAAGUCGAACGGUAACAGGAAACAGCUUGCUGUUUCGCUGACGAGUGGCGGACGGGUGAGUAAUGUCUGGGAAACUGCCUGAUGGAGGGGGAUAACUACUGGAAACGGUAGCUAAUACCGCAUAACGUCGCAAGACCAAAGAGGGGGACCCUCGGGCCUCUUGCCAUCGGAUGUGCCCAGAUGGGAUUAGCUUGUUGGUGGGGUAACGGCUCACCAAGGCGACGAUCCCUAGCUGGUCUGAGAGGAUGACCAGCCACACUGGAACUGAGACACGGUCCAGACUCCUACGGGAGGCAGCAGUGGGGAAUAUUGCACAAUGGGCGCAAGCCUGAUGCAGCCAUGCCGCGUGUAUGAAGAAGGCCUUCGGGUUGUAAAGUACUUUCAGCGGGGAGGAAGGGAGUAAAGUUAAUACCUUUGCUCAUUGACGUACCCGCAGAAG